GGGCCCGCACAAGCGGAGGAACAUGUGGUUUAAUUCGAUGAUACGCGAGGAACCUUACCCGGGCUCGAACGGCUGUUGAAUGGAGUAGAGAUAUUUCAGUUCGCAAGAACAAUAGUCGAGGUGCUGCAUGGUUGUCGUCAGCUCGUGCCGUGAGGUGUCGGCUUAAGUGCCAUAACGAGCGCAACCCUUGUCGUUAGUUACCAUCAGGUUAUGCUGGGGACUCUAGCGAGACUGCCACCGUAAGGUGAGAGGAAGGGGGGGAUGACGUCAAAUCAGCACGGCCCUUACGUCCGGGGCGACACACGUGUUACAAUGGUAGGUACAGAGGGGAGCUAGUCAGUGAUGGCAUGCGAAUCUCGAAAGCCUAUCUCAGUUCGGAUCGGAGUCUGCAACUCGACUCCGUGAAGUUGGGAUUCGCUAGUAAUCGCGCAUCAGCCAUGGCG
Molecule: ribosomal RNA, 443 nt
Filed under: uncultured Bacteroidota bacterium
Lineage: Bacteria; Pseudomonadati; Bacteroidota
Description: bacterial SSU rRNA
Rfam family: Bacterial small subunit ribosomal RNA
Source: RNAcentral